This 504-nucleotide ribosomal RNA is filed under the name uncultured fungus. RNAcentral's name for it is "SSU rRNA". It matches the Rfam family "Eukaryotic small subunit ribosomal RNA", at positions 248 to 755 of the family's 1831-position model. The record is from RNAcentral. Lineage: Eukaryota; Fungi.
GAUUCAUGAUAACUCCUCGAAUCGCAUGGCCUUGUGCCGGCGAUGGUUCAUUCAAAUUUCUUCCCUAUCAACUUUCGAUGUUUGGGUAUUGGCCAAACAUGGUUGCAACGGGUAACGGAGGGUUAGGGCUCGACCCCGGAGAAGGAGCCUGAGAAACGGCUACUACAUCCAAGGAAGGCAGCAGGCGCGCAAAUUACCCAAUCCCGACACGGGGAGGUAGUGACAAUAAAUACUGAUACAGGGCUCUUUUGGGUCUUGUAAUUGGAAUGAGUACAAUUUAAAUCCCUUAACGAGGAACAAUUGGAGGGCAAGUCUGGUGCCAGCAGCCGCGGUAAUUCCAGCUCCAAUAGCGUAUAUUAAAGUUGUUGUGGUUAAAAAGCUCGUAGUUGAACCUUGGGCCUGGCUGGCCGGUCCGCCUCACCGCGUGUACUGGUCCGGCCGGGCCUUUCCCUCUGUGGAACCCCAUGCCCUUCACUGGGUGUGGCGGGGAACCAGGACUUUUAC